RNAcentral lists this long non-coding RNA (429 nucleotides) under Homo sapiens (human). Its description in RNAcentral is "non-protein coding lnc-MBD3L2B-5:1". The record is from RNAcentral. Lineage: Eukaryota; Metazoa; Chordata; Mammalia; Primates; Hominidae.
CCAUCUCAAAAUAAAAUAAAAUAAAAUAAAAAAUAAAACCAGGAAGAGACCCACUUUCAUACUAUUCUCUUUCCAGCCUGGUGACAAGAGAACAAAACAUAUCUGUGUCUACUGGGAGGGAUCAGAGGGAGGCCGCUGGUCCACGGAGGGCUGCUCUCAUGUGCACAGCAACGGUUCUUACACCAAAUGCAAGUGCUUCCAUCUGUCCAGCUUUGCCGUCCUCGUGGCUCUUGCCCCCAAGGAGGACCCUGUGCUGACCGUGAUCACCCAGGUGGGGCUGACCAUCUCUCUGCUGUGCCUCUUCCUGGCCAUCCUCACCUUCCUCCUGUGCCGGCCCAUCCAGAACACCAGCACCUCCCUCCAUCUAGAGCUCUCCCUCUGCCUCUUCCUGGCCCACCUCCUGUUCCUGACGGGCAUCAACAGAACUGA